AGGAAGGCGGGGAUGACGUCAAAUCAGCACGGCCCUUACGUCCAGGGCUACACACGUGCUACAAUGGCCGAUACAGAGGGCAGCUACCUGGUGACAGGAUGCAAAUCUCCAAAGUCGGUCUCAGUUCGGAUCGGAGUCUGCAACCCGACUCCGUGAAGUUGGAUUCGCUAGUAAUCGCGCAUCAGCCAUGGCGCGGUGAAUACGUUCCCGGGCCUU
RNAcentral lists this ribosomal RNA (216 nucleotides) under uncultured Sphingobacteriales bacterium. RNAcentral describes it as "partial 16S ribosomal RNA". It matches the Rfam family "Bacterial small subunit ribosomal RNA", at positions 1167 to 1382 of the family's 1533-position model. The record is from RNAcentral. Lineage: Bacteria; Pseudomonadati; Bacteroidota; Sphingobacteriia; Sphingobacteriales.